Long non-coding RNA from Saccostrea cuccullata (small rock oyster), 735 nucleotides. RefSeq lists it as uncharacterized. The record is from RefSeq and is a predicted model, not a curated record. The transcript has 3 exons. NCBI's taxonomy places the organism in Eukaryota, Metazoa, Mollusca, Bivalvia, Ostreida, Ostreidae.
AUUCAUGCUUUAAAUUUGCCUGAUUGUGACUAAUAACGUGUGAAAUGCAUUAUUUUUCAAGCCCAACGGCAUGUAUGUAAUCCACUGAACGCGCGUCGACCCUUUAUGACGUCACUGAGAAAUUACGUCGAACGUUUAUCCAUACAAACAUGUAUGACCUCUUGACCCCGUACCUGUAUUUAUACAGUAAUAAAAACGCUUGCUUUCAGUAGUGUUACAUAAAGGAAAACAUUUGCAAAUGUAAAUGUAAAAUUAUAAUUGAAUAAUAUUAUACUAUUUUAGUAUUAAGAUUUUUCAAUGUUUACCAAAGUUAAACAAAAUUAUUUUUUCUGUUCGCAAUUAAUACAUUUUAAAAGAUGGUUAAAUUUGUUAAUAUUCCAAUAUUCUACAUUUUUGUCGUUACAGGCAUAAUUUCUGCUUGCAGCAUGAUACUUAGUUCAGAAUAUAAGCAAAUAAACAUCAUUAAGGACUUUGUAAAAUCCUGCAAUGGACGAUUCAAUAUAGAAAAGGCAACAGAUGAAGAAGAAUUUUGCAGAAACACGCAGCAACUCCUUCAUUGUGUAAUUUCAUUGUCAACAUGGGGAAAUGAUUCAACCUGUCUUGUUAAGGACAAGCUUCGUUUGGUCAACACUUACUUCAAACACAACAAAUUCCUUGCUCCUUCAAUUUUUAAUUUGGAAACAUGUUUUACACGAUACCUGUCAGAGUUUCCAUUCUCAGGGGAAAGCUAUACUG